GGGCCCGUAGCUCAGAGGUAGAGCAUCUGACUUUUAAUCAGAGUGUCCUAGGUUCGAUUCCUAGCGGGCUCA
RNAcentral lists this transfer RNA (72 nucleotides) under Candidatus Sneabacter namystus. It matches the Rfam family "tRNA". From Rfam's summary of the family: Transfer RNA (tRNA) molecules are approximately 80 nucleotides in length. Their secondary structure includes four short double-helical elements and three loops (D, anti-codon, and T loops). Lineage: Bacteria; Pseudomonadati; Pseudomonadota; Alphaproteobacteria; Rickettsiales; Rickettsiaceae. The record is from Rfam by way of RNAcentral.